UCUAUGGAUGAUGUUCGAUAUUACCUUCAUCACUCAGUGGAUACAGUGGAUGUGGAUACCAUGCUUGGUUCUCGUUGCAAAAUGUAAAGUGGUGAUCAAUUCCCAACAAUGUUCAUGCCGGAAUUUUGUUAGCAUGAAUCAGACGUCAUGAACCGAAUUUUACUGUCUCUGGACAUCGGCUUCCAUGGUGGUGAAUAGGCCACGUUUGCUUCCAUCAACUAGCAUGAAAAACCUAUCUGGAGAGGUUGGAGAAGGGUAAUCGGUUCAAUAGAAUAACCGCAGCCUAAUAGUAGGAGGUAAUCUCUGCAAAGCCAUCCCAUCGUUGAUGAUCGACCUCUUCCUAGCAUGGAUGCCAGAUUUGGUUUCAAAACGCUCGAUGCUCCUCUGGCAUGACUCGUAGUCGUUUCAUCGUUCUACGAAUUCGUCUAGUUUAGCCAAGCAACAGUUCUGCGAUUCUCAUUGAAGGUACAUUUCAAGCUGUUGGCGGUUAGGAGGAGUCUCAGGUUCAAUACGCGUCACGUUUUGUCACUGUUUUAUUCAAGUCGCUAUGUUUUGUUCGGAUGGAUUCCUGGAUAGGCUUACUCUUCGUAAGCUCCGAUACACGCAGUUCAAGUUCAGUUAAGUUUUCUAAUAGUUGCUAGGGCACAUUCUUUAUACUAGUGGCUUAUAUUUUAUGAGUUACAUUAAUUGAAUUAAGACUAAACAUUUUCUAAUAGUCGCUACGGCACAUUCUUUAUACUAGUGGCUUAUAUUUUAUGAGGUAAAUU
This is a long non-coding RNA of Wyeomyia smithii (pitcher-plant mosquito), 767 nucleotides long. RefSeq lists it as uncharacterized. NCBI's taxonomy places the organism in Eukaryota, Metazoa, Arthropoda, Insecta, Diptera, Culicidae. The transcript has 3 exons. The record is from RefSeq and is a predicted model, not a curated record.